CAUGCUGUGAUGGAUCUAGACUUGGGCAUCUACAUCAAAUACUGACUGGAUGGCUCACUAUUUGACCUUCACCGCCUGACUGCAAAAACAGACAACAGAGAGACUCAUCCUGGAAGCUCUCUUCGCAGAUGACUGUGCUCUCAUGGCCCACCAAGAAAAUCAUCUCCAAACCAUUGUGGACAGGUUCUCCACCACAACAAAACUGUUUGGCCUGACUAUCAGCCUCAGCAAAACAGAGGUGCUGUUCCAACCUGCACCAGGGAGGCCAACUAACCAGCCGUGUAUUACAAUCGACAGCACGCAACUUUCUAACGUCAGCACUUUCAAGUACCUGGGCAGCACCAUCGCCAACGACGGGUCCCUAGACCACGAGAUCAAUGCCAGGAUCCAAAAGGCCAGCCAGGCACUCGGGCGGCUGCACUGCAAAGUCCUCCAACACAGCGGUGUAAGCACUGCGAUGAAGCUCAAAGCGUACAACGCAGUGGUCCUCAGCUCGCUCCUGUACGGUUGUGAGACAUGGACACUGUACCGGAAGCACAUGAGACAGCUGGAGCAAUUCCACCAACGCUCCCUCUGGUCAAUCAUGAGGAUCCGAUGGCAGGACCGAAUCACCAACCAGGAAGUCCUCAAUGGAGCCAACUCCACCAGCAUCGAAGUCAUGGUCCUCAAAGCCCAGCUACGAUGGUCUGGACACGUCAUCCGCAUGGACCCACAGCGAAUACCAAGACAGGCAUUCUAUGGUGAACUGUCAGCUGGACUCAGGAAACAAUGCCGACCAAAGAAAAGAUUCAAGGAUCAGCUAAAGUCCAACUUGAAGUGGGCUGACAUUACACCAAAGCAACUAGAACUCGCUGCCUCUGACAGAAGCAGCUGGCGAACCCGCAUUCACCAUGCCGCCACCCCCUUUGAAGAUGAGCGACGUCGACGUCUUGCUGCACGUGAACGCCGACACCAGGCCACACCCGCACCUCCCGUAACAGCUGGCAUCCCAUGCCCCAAGUGCCACAAACUGUGCGCCUCAGCCUUUGGACUCCAAAGCCACAUGUGGGUACACCGCAGAUGAAACUGCAC
This 1071-nucleotide long non-coding RNA is filed under the name Monodelphis domestica (gray short-tailed opossum). RNAcentral's name for it is "lncRNA (ENSMODG00000046623.1)". Lineage: Eukaryota; Metazoa; Chordata; Mammalia; Didelphimorphia; Didelphidae. The record is from RNAcentral.